RNAcentral lists this long non-coding RNA (814 nucleotides) under Sinocyclocheilus grahami. RNAcentral's name for it is "lncRNA (ENSSGRG00000010844.1)". The record is from RNAcentral. Lineage: Eukaryota; Metazoa; Chordata; Actinopteri; Cypriniformes; Cyprinidae.
CUGUUAUCUGUUAGUGUGGACUGAAAUGCGCUCGGCGCUGCCUCUGAGCCGCAAGCAGCUAAUGAUGCGUGGAGAUCAGCGAUAAACCAGCGGAUACACAGGUGGAGCUGUAACAAUUGUGUCUGUAAGAACGUCGCACAGCAUGCAAGGAAACUGAGAAGACACUCGUUCAACAUGACGUCCCCUCCGCCCUCAUCUCAGCCAUAGGACGCACAGCAUGCAAGGAAACUGAGAAGACACUCGUUCAACAUGACAUCCCCUCCGCCCUCAUCUCAGCCAUAGGAACACACACACACACACACACACACACGCAGAAGAACACACACCAUCACACUACAGCCCCAGGUGUGUCAGGACUGACUGAACUGUGUUUGAUAACAAAAUACUGAUGACCAAAAAAUCUAUUAUUACAGCUCAAACUGCAUCUCCUCCUCACGUGUUCGUGUUUGUGAGUUCAGGGUUUGUGAGGUGUGUGCUUUGAGGGAUCAUGUCUGUGGUUUUCACACCCGACGGGAUUGAGGAGGGCGAUGGCUCUCUGUCCACCGACGCUUCCGCAGGCAUCUGUGGCAAAAGCAGCCCGUCGGCGCCUGCUAAAGACACCAAUGCCGACAGCACAGAACCAGAUGACAACCUCUCCCAGGAAGCACAGCGACGCUGUCAGAAUCACGGCCACACUAGGAAACGAGCCAAGGUAAAGCAUGCGAGGACACACACACUUCUCUCCUAAACAUGACAGGCUUUAGCAGUCAGUCGAGUUUAACCUCGACGUUACAGACCCAUAACAUCUGUGUUUCUGGAUGUAGGUUCAGUCACA